UUCUGGCUCAGGAUGAACGCUAGCUACAGGCUUAACACAUGCAAGUCGAGGGGCAUCAUGAUCUGUGCUUGCACAGGUUGAUGGCGACCGGCGCACGGGUGAGUAACGCGUAUCCAACCUUCCCCGCAGCAGGGAAUAGCCCGGCGAAAGUCGGAUUAAUGCCCUAUGUUUUCCUUUGAGAGCAUUUGAUUUGGAACAAAGAUUUUUCGCUACGGGAUGGGGGAUGCGUCCGAUUAGCUUGACGGCGGGGUAACGGCCCACCGUGGCAUCGAUCGGUAGGGGUUCUGAGAGGAAGGUCCCCCCACAUUGGAACUGAGACACGGUCCAAACUCCUACGGGAGGCAGCAGUGAGGAAUAUUGGUCAAUGGUCUGACGACUGAACCAGCCAAGUAGCGUGCGGGAUGACUGCCCUAUGGGUUGUAAACCGCUUUUGCAGGGGAAUAAAGUCAGGAACGUGUUCCUGUUUGCAUGUACCCUGAGAAUAAGGACCGGCUAAUUCCGUGCCAGCAGCGGC
RNAcentral lists this ribosomal RNA (514 nucleotides) under uncultured bacterium. Its description in RNAcentral is "bacterial SSU rRNA". It matches the Rfam family "Bacterial small subunit ribosomal RNA", at positions 17 to 518 of the family's 1533-position model. The record is from RNAcentral.